AAGACUAUACUUUCAGGGAUCAUUUCUAUAGUUUGUGACUAGAGAAGUUUCUUUGAUUACACCAGAAAAAGCCACGAGGAGGAGCCAGAGCAUCCUCUCCUAAGUUUGAAGCCUGCUCUAGGUGUCGCUUCUGCGACUCCCUUUGGCUUUUGAUGAUCAUUCUUCCUUUUCUCUGGAGAGGGUAAAGAGAGAGGAUGUAGUCUGAGUGGU
Molecule: small nucleolar RNA, 210 nt
Organism: Suncus etruscus (white-toothed pygmy shrew)
Lineage: Eukaryota; Metazoa; Chordata; Mammalia; Eulipotyphla; Soricidae
Product: small nucleolar RNA U3
Exons: 1
Source: RefSeq, a predicted model, not a curated record